Molecule: ribosomal RNA, 447 nt
Filed under: uncultured bacterium
Lineage: Bacteria
Description: bacterial SSU rRNA
Rfam family: Bacterial small subunit ribosomal RNA
Source: RNAcentral
AACGAACGCUGGCGGCAGGCCUAACACAUGCAAGUCGAACGCCCUAGCAAUAGGGAGUGGCAGACGGGUGAGUAACACGUGGGAACGUGCCUUUCGGUUCGGAAUAACCCAGGGAAACUUGGACUAAUACCGGAUACGUGCGAGAGCAGAAAGAUUUAUCGCCGAAAGAUCGGCCCGCGUCCGAUUAGUUAGUUGGUGAGGUAAUGGCUCACCAAGGCGACGAUCGGUAGCUGGUCUGAGAGGAUGAUCAGCCACACUGGGACUGAGACACGGCCCAGACUCCUACGGGAGGCAGCAGUGGGGAAUAUUGGACAAUGGGGGAAACCCUGAUCCAGCAAUGCCGCGUGAGUGAAGAAGGCCUUAGGGUUGUAAAGCUCUCUCGGGCGGGACGAUGGUGACGGUACCCGCAGAAGAAGCCCCGGCUAACUUCGUGCCAGCCGCCGCGGU